RNA transcript from Rattus norvegicus (Norway rat), 3859 nucleotides. RefSeq lists it as uncharacterized. The record is from RefSeq and is a predicted model, not a curated record. NCBI's taxonomy places the organism in Eukaryota, Metazoa, Chordata, Mammalia, Rodentia, Muridae.
AGUCUUUCCUAAAGCAAGAGGAAGUCCUGUGUGCAUGCACAGCCAGCCUCAGCUGCCGUAAGACACUGUGCAUUCCAAAUUAUUUCCAAGUGAAAAAAAAAGUCUUAUUAGGCAAAACAAAAUUUAACACUAAGUUUUGUCAUGCUGCAGAUGUAAUGGCUGGGUAAGAGAGCGAGGUGAGGAGCUGAAGAGUAAGGAAGCACGGUUUAAACAACGUGGUUCUCAUGAUGCCAUCACACUGUACUCUUCACGUUGAAAGAAAGGGAUCUGAGACACGCUCAAUCAAAUCACAAUCUCUGAAUGUCUCUGGGAGCUCUGCCCCUCCAAAACUGCUGUCUUACUGUUAGAGGCAUGGAUCAGAAUCCAACGGGACCCUGGUGAGAUUUCCACUUUCUUAUAUUGCAACAUAAAGAAUUAGACCUGGAGCAAGUGGAUAAUUAUAGAAGCAGAGACAGCUUAAGAAAGCAAAUACUCCCAAGCAUGGAAGCAGGCAGAGACCUAAGAAGUCACAACUCUAAUGGCCUCCCAUUUCUAUCCCUGCCAUGAGUGUGAUACCUGCGCCUUUAUAGGCCACAUAUAUAUCACCUGCACUGGUGGGAGGACUUUGGGGCUGUUUCUCAUCCAUGCUCUAUUUUGUUACAUGUAUCCCUGAUGAUGGGGAGGGUGUAGGUGGUAGUCUUUUUGACAACAUACUUAUUUUAUAUGUUAGUCUUGGUGCCUCUUUCCCAAAGCCCUACUUACUCUUCUGCCCCCAAUAAAUGUGAUAUCAGUGAGAAAUGUUCCCCAUAAUCUUAGGUAUUACUUCAAAAGAAAAAUAAUGAGAAAAAAAAACAAAGCAUAAAGUAUGCUUAUGAGUAUCAAUGGAUUGAUAAAUACAGUUUAUCUUAUUAUUUAGGAAGUUAAAACACCCCAUUUAUUUUCUUGUUACUUAUGCAUUUGAAGAGAAUUCUCUUUUUUUUUUUUUUUUUAGCUUUUUAGCAGUUUUUAGAUACAUGUGGCCUUGUCUUUAAGGUGUUCUUUAUUGUCUUAAUAGCCUAAAUUGUCAACUUUUUCUUCCAGCCAUCUUCUUUAUCUAGUCUGUUGAUAAGUCUUUCAAAUAAGUUUUCUGUUGUUGACAUUGUUUGAUUUAUGGAGCUUUUUGUUUUCAACAUUUAUGUUAAGAGAUUUUUCAGCCAUUCACUACAGCUGUGCACGUGUGUACUGGAGCACCAACCUGGCUUCCUUAUUUCAUUCAGUUAUAUAUUUGGGUUUUUUUUUAAUCUGUUUUUGUUUGUGUUUGCUUUUUUAGCUUUUGAUCGUUUUUACAAUAAUCACUUUGAAUUUUUUAUAUAGUAUGUUAAGUACUUCAACCUUAUUGGGAUCAGUUAUGGAAUUGUUGAGUUUAGACAUUUAAAAAAGUUUUUUGUUCGUUUGUCUUUCCACUUUGAGACACCAGUUGGGAUACAAAUCUCUUGAACUUCUGCGUGACAGCCUUUGCAGGGGACAGCUUUCUUCUGAGGCUGUGCCCUAGAAUGUAGGCCAGCUUCGUACUGUCGAGUUUACAUUCCAUGUUCGCUCGCGUCAGUGUGAGAUUUCAGGUGGCUUGUUAGGUUGUGGUCAGUAGGAUUUGCUACUGCUGUCAUUAUGUUAAAACCUGAGUGGCCAGCUUUCCCUACAGAUCUCUAGAGUUAUCUAAUCCCUUUGAAAGUGAAGGCAGAUGUGUUGAACAAGCAUGGUGUGUGGGGAAUAUCCUAUGUGGUUGUUCUUCCGGGUUAGUUAGCAGUGUGAAUAUACAGGCACAUCUCCCUUGCCUUUUGUAGCUGCAGUAUCUACAGCCGUGGUUUAUCUCUCUGUGUUGAUUACUGUGCUUUCACUGGGACUUCUAGUCUUCCUCCAACUAUGUGUACUCUGGCCCAGGUCAUCAACGAGAUGCUUUAACUUUGACUAAUACUUAAAAUCUGCCAGAUUUCCAGCAGAACAAGAUGUGGUCUACACAAGAGUGGAAUUCUUCUCAACUAGAUUUGGAAAACAGCUCUGUGGAGAAACACCCACCAAGUGUGUCUGAGGUGUCAGGUUUGACAUUCAACACUGCUUAUGCAAAAAAUCCAGAAAUACAGUUAAAUCUACAUUAAAAACUAUAACUAUAGCAUCUAGUUUUUAAAAAGAGACAAUAUAUGCUAAAACGGUAUUUACAACAGUAAGAAUGCAAAACAAAAGAAAGGUAAGAGAGAUUUCCAAAGAAUAUUGCAGAAAUGUUUUUUUUGUUUGCUUGUUUUUUUUGUUUUUUUAAGAGAAGAUAAUAACAAAGAAUGAUGCAAAAAUAUGGGGAAACAGCAGUGAAGCUAACCAUUAAGCGGUGAGAAUGAGAACUCAGUGAAGAUUGACUUUGUCAUCCUGGACCAAAUUUCAAGGAGACUGAUGCCAGGCUGUUUAUUUAGGCAUAUUCAAACAUGAUGGAAUUUGGAAAAUUUUGUUUCCAGGCAACCAUCAUUCCUAUUCUAGAUGCAUAAUAAAGCUUAUGGCUGGGCUACAUAGGAAUUCCAUGACCAAGGAUUUGUGACCAUGGAAAUGGGUUCUAUAGCUUAAGGGCCUAGGAUUUAGUGUGUCUCUGACUGAGAUCGCAUAGAGGUCAUCAGGCCAUGUGUACGUGUGACACCUCCCCUAAGGAUGGGUUCCAUCAACUGGGAGCUAAUGAUAAAAGUCUAAGGAUUGAGUCUGAGAUAACAUUCUAAGGGAUUUGGGCAAGAUUUGACAGCUGCCUCUAGAGAUAUCAAAAGGUCAUCGGGUCAUUAACAAUAUCCACUCCCAGCUUCCUGGCUGGAUUGCAGGCAUUUUAUUUCCUCUGUCAAGGAUAUAACCCUUGUCUUUAACAUUCCUGGUUUCCAUAGUGGUCUGUGGGUGCAAAGACCUUUCUGCCUCCAACAUAUUUGCCUUUCAUUAGCCACUGCUAAUUUACAAAUUUAAUUAUUACUCUGAAUAUUUAAGUGUGUUUGUUUGAAUUCGUUGCCACUAAUUUUUUUAAUAAAACAGAAUUUAAUUGGGGAAAAUGAGAAAGGAAAGAAAUCAAGAUAAAAAUCCAAUUAAAGAAAUAAAUGAAAUAGUUAACCGUAUGAAAAUGCAGAAAAAAAAAUCAAAGUUAGACAAGACAAAGGGAAAGAAAGCAGAAAAGAAGAAAGCCUUGUGUAGAAUGUCUUUUCUACACUUGAUCUUGGCCAAAAGGCCAAGAAGCGAUAGAAUAUUGUCUACAUUCUGGUUGGACCUGGGAAUACAAGCCCUGUGUUCCAGGUCUCCUAUGCCUCUGCUGGUCUAGGUGGGGAACAGGGUGCUAAUGCAAUCUGCUUAGGCAAGUUGUCAAACCAAUUAGGGCUCUAGCAUGCUUCCCCUAAGUUUCUCCAUGCGUAGGUUCAGAGACUGCUGAACAAGUCCGGGAUGUGUUUCCUGGGAACCCCUAGGGCAAUACAUGCUACUGAACCAGCUGGGAGCCCUCUAGUUUCGGAAUAUUUAGAGCCGUGCUGUGUUCCCUUUCGCCCAAGACCCUAUCUCUGUGCACCCUGCUGCAGCCCUAACAUUGGGCCACAGUGGAGACUUUUUCUAUUAAAUCUACCUCUCUUAAGAGUUAAGAGUGGCAUAUUUUAUAGAUUGGACGAGGUUUCAGCAGAUAUGUCAGACUGUGUGUGACUGAGCACCUGGGGUCCAGGCUAACAUGCAAGCCCCUGGAAAAACUAAAGGGGGUUGUAGAGGAGGGUGGCCAGCUCCUCACUCCAACCAUGGUUUCCCCUUUAAAAAAAUAAUGUUUUUAAUUUUGGAAUUAUAAUAUAAUUACACUAUCCCCUCUCCCCUUUUCUCCCUUCAAUCCCUCCCAUGAGUUACCCUUAGCUCC